CCUACGGGUGGCAGCAGUGGGGGAUAUUGCACAAUUGGGGGAACCCUGAUGCAGCGACGCCGCGUGAGCGAAGAAGUACCUCGGUAUGUAAAGCUCUAUCAGCAGGGAAGAAAAUGACGGUACCUGACUAAGAAGCACCGGCUAAAUACGUGCCAGCAGCCGCGGUAAUACGUAUGGGGCAAGGGUUAUCCGGAUGUACUGGGGGUAAAGGGGGGGCAGGGGGCCUGCCAGGUCUGGCGGGAAAACCCAGGGUCCAACCCCCGGCCUGAAGUUGAAACUGGUGGGCUGGAGUGUCGGAGGGGCAGGCGGAAUGCCUGGUGUAGCGGUGAAAUGCGUAGAUAUUAGGAGGAACACCGAUGGCGAAGGCAGCCUGCUGGACGAUGACUGACGCUGAGGCUCGAAAGCGUGGGGAGCAAACAGGAUUAGAUACCCCAGUAGUC
RNAcentral lists this ribosomal RNA (440 nucleotides) under uncultured bacterium. RNAcentral describes it as "partial 16S ribosomal RNA". It matches the Rfam family "Bacterial small subunit ribosomal RNA", at positions 338 to 795 of the family's 1533-position model. The record is from RNAcentral.